Molecule: long non-coding RNA, 719 nt
Organism: Melanotaenia boesemani (Boeseman's rainbowfish)
Lineage: Eukaryota; Metazoa; Chordata; Actinopteri; Atheriniformes; Melanotaeniidae
Exons: 3
Source: RefSeq, a predicted model, not a curated record
AGAUAAAAAUAAAGAAGUUAGAGAAACUUCUGGUCAACUCACAACACACUGCAUGUUUUUAGUAAAAUGAAAAACCUAAAAACUGGGAAACAAAAGCACUCGAAUGCAAAGGAACAUGAUACAUGGUGGAAAAAUACUGCCUUUCUGUCAUGGUCGCCGCUCCGUUUCCUCAUCAAGCUCAUCUGCUCCACCUGGGCCUCCUUGAUUACACAUCACUCCCACCUGCCCGCUCUCCUACUUAAACCCUCUCUUGUCUCUGCUUCCCUGCCAGAUGGUCAGCAUUGUUCACCUUGUUGAUAUCCAGCAUUUUCUCUUGCCUUUUGAUUCCUGUGAACAACCCUGUUUUGUCCCUCGGAUUCCCUUGCGCCUGAUUCCACGUCAGACUUUUCCUGCCCAUCGCCUGUCUGGACAUCAACCCUGCUUUGGAAAAACCUCUGAGCCCUGCCCAACCCUGAUAACAGCUCUGGCCAAAGCCAAACAUGCUGAUGCACAGGAAGGUGAAUCUCCCUUUGAAGAGCCACUCACACAAAGCGGAGGAUCAUUUUGGAAAGACGCCUCGCCGGACAAAGACUAAAUAUAGACUUCCCUGUUUGACCAACUAACAAGGAUGUUUUGAGCUGGGCGAUGACCCGGAGAGAAGUGAUGAUAAGCGGCAGAGGAGGAGUUUGCUUUUUCAAAUGGAGAUAAAAGAGUUUGCUGGUGAAAAGAGGCUUUACCAA